CAGCCGCCGCGGUAAUACGGAGGAUCCGAGCGUUAUCCGGAUUUAUUGGGUUUAAAGGGUGCGUAGGCGGCCUUGUAAGUCAGGGGUGAAAGACGGUAGCUCAACUAUCGCAGUGCCUUUGAUACUGCAGGGCUUGAAUGUACUUGAGGUAGGCGGAAUGUGACAAGUAGCGGUGAAAUGCAUAGAUAUGUCACAGAACACCAAUUGCGAAGGCAGCUUACUAAAGUAUGAUUGACGCUGAGGCACGAAAGCGUGGGGAUCAAACAGGAUUAGAUACCCGUGUAGUCCCUGUCUCUUAUAA
This 301-nucleotide ribosomal RNA is filed under the name uncultured bacterium. RNAcentral describes it as "partial 16S ribosomal RNA". It matches the Rfam family "Bacterial small subunit ribosomal RNA", at positions 509 to 809 of the family's 1533-position model. The record is from RNAcentral.